This 586-nucleotide ribosomal RNA is filed under the name uncultured bacterium. RNAcentral describes it as "partial 16S ribosomal RNA". It matches the Rfam family "Bacterial small subunit ribosomal RNA", at positions 355 to 1375 of the family's 1533-position model. The record is from RNAcentral.
UGGGGAAUUUUGGACAAUGGGCGAAAGCCUGAUCCAGCAAUGCCGCGUGUGUGAAGAAGGCCUUCGGGUUGUAAAGCACUUUUGUCCGGAAAGAAAUCCUUGGCUCUAAUACAGUCGGGGGAUGACGGUACCGGAAGAAUAAGCACCGGCUAACUACGUGCCAGCAGCCGCGGUAAUACGUAGGGUGCAAGCGUUAAUCGGAAUUACUGGGCGUAAAGCGUGCGCAGGCGGUUUGCUAAGACCGAUGUGAAAUCCCCGGGCUCAACCUGGGAACUGCAUUGGUGACUGGGCAGGCUAGAGUAUGGCAGAGGGGGGUAGAAUUCCACGUGUAGCAGUGAAAUGCGUAGAGAUGUGGAGGAAUACCGAUGGCGAAGGCAGCCCCCUGGGCCAAUACUGACGCUCAUGCACGAAAGCGUGGGGAGCAAACAGGAUUAGAUACCCUGGUAGUCCACGCCCUAAACGAUGUCAACUAGUUGUUGGGGAUUCAUUUCCUUAGUAACGUAGCUAACGCGUGAAGUUGACCGCCUGGGGAGUACGGUCGCAAGAUUAAAACUCAAAUGAAUUGACGGGGUCAUAGCUGUUUCCU